GUAUUCAUCCACUUUUAAGGAGGCACAAUUAGCUAAUCAUAUUGAGGUGCUAUGAAUUAAUCUGAACUAGGUGUGCGGGGCUUUCUCGAGUGGACGCGAUGGUAAAAUGUGUUCGUUACUAUCCUGAUGGCACAAGGAAGCGUGGAUCACAUGUUAAGGAUAAAAGGCGUGAUAAGUAUUACCAGUUGGCUCGAGCUUUGGUGGACGAGUAUAACGACCAUCACAAUCUUUUUGGGGUUGGCACUCUUUCCUCCCUCCAUCAUCCCUCUGUGCUGCUAGCAUAGCAGGGAUGCUAACAAAUUAUUGCAAUCACUGAUAGGAUCCACAUCUCUUAUUUUAGGAUAUUGCAUAUGAGGUCAAAGAUUUUCUGCAUGGCAAGCCUCUUUGGGAGGAUUAUUACAUCCACUGGACGUACUUUCAUAUGAAUUUCACUGCAAAGACCAAAGGAGCUUAUGGUGUUGACAAUGGCAACCUAUUCUUUGCUGAAGUCAAAUAUAAUCGAGGAGAUGAUGGAUUAACGGUGAACUGUUGCUGUAUACUGGAACCUUCUGAUCAUGGUAUUCUUUGAGCAUCUCAGCUUACAUCUUAUCUGUUAGACAGUCAACCUUUUGACAUUCAAUUCUGAAGCUGUUAUGAUAUGUAUUCGCGCCUGGUUAGUUAUUUGGCAGUUACAAUUGACAAUAAUUACCCCUCUUCUUUUAAAUAAAACACAGGCCUCUGCUAUGGUUGUGGAUCUGAUAUGAAGCACCCCAAUGAUGGUAAUGCAUAUGCUUGUGGUCGGCGGAACAUCUCGUAUCGUUUUGAGAAUGGUGCACCUCAACUACCUCCGUGUUAUUGCGAGGACCGUUAUUACGAGGAUGUAAGUGUAACGUUUUUCCGUUUCUUUCUGGCAAAGCUUGUUUUUAGCACUUAUCUAGUUUUAUGCAUGGUUUGUUACACCUCUUCUACAGUCUGAUGAAGAAGUGGAAAGACUGAGAUCACAAUUCAAGGUAAUGACAAUAUAUUGUCCUAAUUCCUGUGCAGCUAGCAUAGUACCAUCUAUUCGUCGACUCAUGGAUGAAUAAUUCCUUGCCUGUGUAUUUAUUUUCUUCAGGCGUACGAUGAUGAUGCAGUUACCGGAAAGUCAAAAUUUGAGGCUUCUGGAAUUUGAGGCUUAAAUAUCGUACAAUUACCGUAUUUAUUUUCAUAUCGUACAAUUUGAGGCUUAAAUAACUGCCAAAGUCAAAAUUGGAACGCUUGUUUCUGGAAUGGAAGAACGUCUCCUAUUUGCCUUCUGACUUAACUCUUGAUAUUGCAGCUAUGGGAUCUGCCUCUGUCCGUCGUUCUCUGAGGAAUAAUACUACGUAUACAUCUUAUAUUAAUUUGUCUGCCUAACCUUUAGGAUACGGUGUAACCCUUUCAAUUUAGUUAUUUCAUUGAAGUAAUGUGAGUUAGAGGAUGGACUCAAUUGUUUAGUCUAUCGUAUUUCAUCGUCUAUGUGGUGCCAUCUUGGGUCGUGUUGAUGUUUGGGUCGUGUCAUCUUCGGCGUUGUAUGGAUCGAGCCAUCUUUGGUGUUGUACUCUCUUAAAGAACUAUACAUGCAACUCUCCUGUAUGGUUAUUAAAACCGUUUUGCUAAAGCACAUCUAGAUGUGCCAUGACACAUUUAAGUCCUAUGUUAUUGAUUUUACAUGGAGAUUCGUGAGUUAUUUUACUUUUUUCACUUUUCUUUUUCUUUCUAUGCUUGAUUGGGCGGCGGCGAGGGAGGAGGAGGAGUAGAGAGGAGGGCCGGAUGACGGGAUCUGAGUUCUUCUGCAAAGACCAAAGGAUCUUAUGGUGUUGACAAUGGCAACCUAUUCUUUGCUGAAGUCAAAUAUAAUCGAGGAGAUGAUGGAUUAACGGUGAACUAUUGCUGUAUACUGGAACCUUCUGAUCAUGGUAUUCUUUGAGCAUCUCAACUUACAUCUUAUCUGUUAGAAAGUCAACCUUUUAACAUUCAAUUGUGAAGCUGUCAAUGUGUGUUCGCG
RNAcentral lists this long non-coding RNA (2005 nucleotides) under Hordeum vulgare. RNAcentral's name for it is "long non-coding RNA (HVUL_LNC006134)". The record is from RNAcentral. Lineage: Eukaryota; Viridiplantae; Streptophyta; Magnoliopsida; Poales; Poaceae.